RNAcentral lists this ribosomal RNA (513 nucleotides) under uncultured bacterium. Its description in RNAcentral is "partial 16S ribosomal RNA". It matches the Rfam family "Bacterial small subunit ribosomal RNA", at positions 28 to 523 of the family's 1533-position model. The record is from RNAcentral.
GAUGAACGCUGGCGGCGUGCCUAAUACAUGCAAGUCGAACGCACAGCGAAAGGUGCUUGCACCUUUCAAGUGAGUGGCGAACGGGUGAGUAACACGUGGACAACCUGCCUCAAGGCUGGGGAUAACAUUUGGAAACAGAUGCUAAUACCGAAUAAAACUCAGUGUCGCAUGACACAAAGUUAAAAGGCGCUUUGGCGUCACCUAGAGAUGGAUCCGCGGUGCAUUAGGUAGUUGGUGGGGUAAAGGCCUACCAAGACAAUGAUGCAUAGCCGAGUGCAGAGACUGAUCGGCCACAGUGGGACUGAGACACGGCCGAAACUCCUACGGGAGGCUGCAGUAGGGAAUCUUCCACAAUGGGCGAAAGCCUGAUGGAGCAACGCCGCGUGUGUGAUGAAGGCUUUCGGGUCGUAAAGCAAUGUUGUAUGGGAAGAACAGCUAGAAUAAGGAAUGAUUUUAGUUUGACGGUACCAUACCAGAAAGGGACGGCUAAAUACGUGCCAGCCGCCGCCGUAA